This 468-nucleotide ribosomal RNA is filed under the name uncultured bacterium. RNAcentral describes it as "partial 16S ribosomal RNA". It matches the Rfam family "Bacterial small subunit ribosomal RNA", at positions 28 to 507 of the family's 1533-position model. The record is from RNAcentral.
GACGAACGCUGGCGGCGUGCUUAACACAUGCAAGUCGAACGGAAAGGCCCUGCUUUUGUGGGGUGCUCGAGUGGCGAACGGGUGGGUAACACGUGAGUAACCUGCCCUUGACUUUGGGAUAACUUCAGGAAACUGGGGCUAAUACCGGAUAGGAGCUCCUGCUGCAUGGUGGGGGUUGGAAAGUUUCGGCGGUUGGGGAUGGACUCGCGGCUUAUCAGCUUGUUGGUGGGGUAGUGGCUUACCAAGGCUUUGACGGGUAGCCGGCCUGAGAGGGUGACCGGCCACAUUGGGACUGAGAUACGGCCCAGACUCCUACGGGAGGCAGCAGGGGGGAAUAUUGCACAAUGGGCGGAAGCCUGAUGCAGCAACGCCGCGUGCGGGAUGACGGCCUUCGGGUUGUAAACCGCUUUCGCCUGUGACGAAGCGUGAGUGACGGUAAUGGGUAAAGAAGCACCGGCUAACUACGUG